UACGAAGGGGGCUAGCGUUGUUCGGAAUCACUGGGCGUAAAGGGCGCGUAGGCGGCUUUAUAAGUCGGGGGUGAAAGCCUGUGGCUCAACCACAGAAUUGCCUUCGAUACUGUAGAGCUUGAGACCGGAAGAGGUGAGUGGAACUGCGAGUGUAGAGGUGAAAUUCGUAGAUAUUCGCAAGAACACCAGUGGCGAAGGCGGCUCACUGGCCCGGUACUGACGCUGAGGUGCGAAAGCGUGGGGAGCAAACAGG
RNAcentral lists this ribosomal RNA (253 nucleotides) under uncultured bacterium. Its description in RNAcentral is "partial 16S ribosomal RNA". It matches the Rfam family "Bacterial small subunit ribosomal RNA", at positions 524 to 776 of the family's 1533-position model. The record is from RNAcentral.